UCCGUUUGCUCUUACGCAUACCUAGUACUAGCACGAUAGCCGUUGGCUCCUUCAUCAAGCAGAUGCUACAAUUCUUUUCAACAUUUGGACUAACUCCCCUUUCCGAAGUCUGAAACGGAACUGAAGGACAGCAACGGGAUUCGAGAAGCUCUUAACGCAGCACAAACGAAUUGGACAUUGUAAAUGCACGCAUGACGGUUGCGGACAAGGCGUCUUUUCCCCGCGGUGUCCAUGGCGUUGGGAAGCAUGAUGCACGAAAAGGCUAGGAGCCUUUUGAGUGCAUUGCCUCCGACGAACGCCAUGUGGGAAAGCUUUGGCUUCAUAAACAAAGCAUUUACCUCCCCCUUCAUUACCCUUUUUUUCUUUCUCUCUAAUCACUUGUAUUCGCCGUUCACAGAUGUAUUAAAGUUUCAUAUUAAUUUGUGAACACUUGGUAAAAUACGAACGGGCCGUUGCAAUCCUUAAUUCAACCCUAGUAUAGGCCAGGUGCCCGAAAAUCGUAUUUUCUUUCAUAUCCAGUCAAUAUUUCCUGAGUAGGAACUAAUCUAUUUUUUGAAUUCUUUAGGUAAAUAUUGAAUGUGUGCAUGUCUCUUUAAUGCAAUAGCCAGGAUUUUCUUUACAUUUAAAAGGAGGUGGUAUCAUUGCACCUAAAAAAAAGCCAUGCAUAUAGAGUAUCUGUGUACUACAGUGCUUUAAAAAACUGUUUGCCUGUUGAGCAAUAUAUGUAUAUUUCCUUUC
Daphnia magna is the source of this 738-nucleotide long non-coding RNA. RefSeq lists it as uncharacterized. NCBI's taxonomy places the organism in Eukaryota, Metazoa, Arthropoda, Branchiopoda, Diplostraca, Daphniidae. The transcript has 2 exons. The record is from RefSeq and is a predicted model, not a curated record.